UUCCUGGAUGCUUGUAUGUUUGAAGGGG
Molecule: non-coding RNA, 28 nt
Filed under: Rattus norvegicus (Norway rat)
Lineage: Eukaryota; Metazoa; Chordata; Mammalia; Rodentia; Muridae
Source: RNAcentral